GGCCAGAGGUCAGAGGAGAGGGAGGCAACAUGGAGGCAGAAGAACAGGAAGAUGAUCCAGACCCUGCGUGGUUUUAAACAGCCACAAGCAGCUAAGGUUUUUCACAAGAUUACUGUGGUACAAAUGACGACUGAGCACCAGAGCACAUUAAAACACCUCAGCACAGUGGCUACAGUAGAUGGAUCAACAGAUAGAAGCCAUUAUUGCUAUUAUCACUUGUAUAGUUAUCAUCUAAGACUAAAGUCAUUGUGACUAGAG
Molecule: long non-coding RNA, 258 nt
Organism: Mastomys coucha (southern multimammate mouse)
Lineage: Eukaryota; Metazoa; Chordata; Mammalia; Rodentia; Muridae
Exons: 2
Source: RefSeq, a predicted model, not a curated record